ACGGCUGAGGUUGCGAAAACGAUCAGUACACUUCCGGAGUGGCAAGAGCCGGGAGCCGAAAGGCGUUUUCGCCGAAGGAUUUGUCUGAUGCCAAGCGGGCUUUUCCUGGGGCUGCGCAGAAUAUGCGCAGAACUGUCAUCCAUGUGAUGUUGUGCUGCC
This 159-nucleotide non-coding RNA is filed under the name human gut metagenome. RNAcentral describes it as "Lysine riboswitch". It matches the Rfam family "Lysine riboswitch aptamer". From Rfam's summary of the family: Riboswitches are metabolite binding domains within certain messenger RNAs that serve as precision sensors for their corresponding targets. Allosteric rearrangement of mRNA structure is mediated by ligand binding, and this results in modulation of gene expression. This family includes riboswitches that sense lysine in a number of genes involved in lysine metabolism, including lysC. The record is from RNAcentral.